This 451-nucleotide ribosomal RNA is filed under the name uncultured Prevotella sp. Its description in RNAcentral is "bacterial SSU rRNA". It matches the Rfam family "Bacterial small subunit ribosomal RNA", at positions 355 to 801 of the family's 1533-position model. The record is from RNAcentral. Lineage: Bacteria; Pseudomonadati; Bacteroidota; Bacteroidia; Bacteroidales; Prevotellaceae.
UGAGGAAUAUUGGUCAAUGGGCGGGAGCCUGAACCAGCCAAGUAGCGUGCAGGACGACGGCCCUAUGGGUUGUAAACUGCUUUUGCGCGGGGAUAAAGUGCGCCACGUGUGGCUCAUUGCAGGUACCGCGCGAAUAAGGACCGGCUAAUUCCGUGCCAGCAGCCGCGGUAAUACGGAAGGUCCGGGCGUUAUCCGGAUUCAUUGGGUUUAAAGGGAGCGCAGGCCGGCUAUUAAGUCAGCUGUGAAAUCCGGCGGCUCAACCGUCGGCCUGCAGUUGAUACUGGUGGCCUUGAGUGCGCGCAGGGGCGUUGGAAUUCAUGGUGUAGCGGUGAAAUGCUCAGAUAUCAUGAAGAACUCCGAUCGCGAAGGCAGAUGCCCGGAGCGCAACUGACGCUGAGGCUCGAAAGUGCGGGUAUCAAACAGGAUUAGAUACCCUGGUAGUCCCUGAACU